Molecule: ribosomal RNA, 207 nt
Filed under: uncultured bacterium
Lineage: Bacteria
Description: partial 16S ribosomal RNA
Rfam family: Bacterial small subunit ribosomal RNA
Source: RNAcentral
CGCGUAGGUGGUUCGUUAAGUUGGAUGUGAAAGCCCCGGGCUCAACCUGGGAACUGCAUCCAAAACUGGCAAGCUAGAGUACGGUAGAGGGUGGUGGAAUUUCCUGUGUAGCGGUGAAAUGCGUAGAUAUAGGAAGGAACACCAGUGGCGAAGGCGACCACCUGGACUGAUACUGACACUGAGGUGCGAAAGCGUGGGGAGCAAACA